This 68-nucleotide transfer RNA is filed under the name Bacillus massilioanorexius. It matches the Rfam family "tRNA". From Rfam's summary of the family: Transfer RNA (tRNA) molecules are approximately 80 nucleotides in length. Their secondary structure includes four short double-helical elements and three loops (D, anti-codon, and T loops). The record is from RNAcentral. Lineage: Bacteria; Bacillati; Bacillota; Bacilli; Caryophanales; Bacillaceae.
CGGAUGUAGUUUAGUGGUAAAACCUCAGCCUUCCAAGCUGAUGAUGAGGGUUCGAUUCCCUUCAUCCG